RNAcentral lists this ribosomal RNA (279 nucleotides) under uncultured bacterium. Its description in RNAcentral is "partial 16S ribosomal RNA". It matches the Rfam family "Bacterial small subunit ribosomal RNA", at positions 506 to 784 of the family's 1533-position model. The record is from RNAcentral.
UGCCAGCAGCCGCGGUAAUACGGAGGGGGUUAGCGUUGUUCGGAAUUACUGGGCGUAAAGCGCACGUAGGCGGAUUGGAAAGUUGGGGGUGAAAUCCCGGGGCUCAACCCCGGAACUGCCUCCAAAACUAUCAGUCUAGAGUUCGAGAGAGGUGAGUGGAAUUCCAAGUGUAGAGGUGAAAUUCGUAGAUAUUUGGAGGAACACCAGUGGCGAAGGCAGCUUACUGGACAUUUACUGACGCUCAGACACGAAGGCUAGGGUAGCGAAAGGGAUUAGAUA